Molecule: long non-coding RNA, 1116 nt
Organism: Leptinotarsa decemlineata (Colorado potato beetle)
Lineage: Eukaryota; Metazoa; Arthropoda; Insecta; Coleoptera; Chrysomelidae
Source: RefSeq, a predicted model, not a curated record
UGCGUGUUAGUGAAUUGUAUUUUUCAUUUUCUAUGCGGCCACACGUGAACGUGAUGUGAAUUUUUUUAUUGUAUAUUAAACUAUUUCGGUUAGUGAUGUUUGAGUUAUAGGACUUUGUUUCCACAAUAUUUUUGGAAUUUGGAGAACGUUUACGGAUGAACUUAUUGAUUGCAAUCCUCAAAAUUAUAGAAAGUGACGAAGUUCCACCUUACGGAUACAGUACACCGGACUUUCGAGAGCCUUCGAUUGCAAUGCUCCACUACAUGGAAAACAGAGCUUGAACAAGUUGGUAUUCGAAGAGUGGCUUUGAAUUAGUUCGAAUUCUUCCUUAUUGGAAAGAAUCAUGUUAUAAAAAUAAAGGACAUCAGUACAGGAAAUUUCGUGAGACAAAAAGUUUUAGAAACAUUGCUUGGGAUCCCCCAGUGCAGUGUUCUGGGUCCUGUCAUAUUCAUUAUCUUUACAAUUGACUUGGUAAUGCUCGCUGAGCAUAAUGAAGUAAUUAUCAAUUUGGCAGAUGAAAUCAUCAUGUCUAUCUCGACCAAUAACUUUCCUGAGUUAACAGAAAUCACUAGCGAAUCUACGAUAUCAAUUCAGAAUUGAUUUACUAAUUCACGACUUUUUCUCAAUCCAGAUGAAACUAGAACAGUCAUCUUCAAAACAUGUGCAUCAAAACACAUAAUUAUACCAAAUAUCAAGUUUACAGAAUACAAAAAAUAUUUAGGAAUAUUUACUGAUAAAAAACUAUAUUUGUUUGAGUGAAUUUUAUCAGAGGUCAUCAUUAUCAGUAAUAAGCUGAUGCGACAUAAUGACAGGAAAAAAUGUUGUUUAUUCUAAGGAAACAGUGGCGGGUCACUGUUAUGAAAUAAAAAUGAGUCAGUCAUAAUAACCUCCAGCUUAUAUUAUUUACGCUCAGAUUUUCAAGGCGUUUAUUUUUAUUUCUCGUUAGUCCACUCUACCAUAACGAACUUCAAUAAACCAAUUCAGCUUUGAAACAUUUAGGUUCAUUAUCACAAUAACUGUAAAAAUCAAAACAAUGAGUUAUAAAAAUGACGCCUACACACCAUUUACGACAGAGGCAAACCAGAGGAACUUGCGUGUUGAAGAACAAUUAGAAUG